GAGGGUGCAAGCGUUAUCCGGAUUCACUGGGUUUAAAGGGUGUGUAGGCGGGCAAUUAAGUCAGCGGUGAAAUCUCCGGGCUCAACCCGGAAACUGCCAUUGAUACUAUUUGUCUUGAAUAUCGUUGAGGUAGGCGGAAUAUGUCAUGUAGCGGUGAAAUGCUUAGAUAUGACAUAGAACACCGAUUGCGAAGGCAGCUUGCUAAACGAUGAUUGACGCUGAGGCACGAAAGCGUGGGGAUCAAACAGG
This 249-nucleotide ribosomal RNA is filed under the name uncultured bacterium. Its description in RNAcentral is "partial 16S ribosomal RNA". It matches the Rfam family "Bacterial small subunit ribosomal RNA", at positions 528 to 776 of the family's 1533-position model. The record is from RNAcentral.